AGCAGCCGCGGUAAUUCCAGCUCCAAUAGCGUAUAUUAAAGUUGUUGCAGUUAAAAAGCUCGUAGUUGAAUUUCGGGAUUAGUACGUUGGUCGUGCCUUCGGUACGUACUGGUGUUACUGAUUCCUACCUUCUGACGAACCAUCAUGUCAUUAAUUUGGUGUGGCGGGGAAUCAGGACUGUUACUUUGAAAAAAUUAGAGUGUUUAAGGCAGGCUCGCGCUUGAAUACAUUAGCAUGGAAUAAUGAAAUAGGACGUUGACCCUAUUUUGUUGGUUUCUAGGAUUGACGUAAUGAUUAAUAGGGAUAGUUGGGGGCAUUAGUAUUCAAUUGUCAGAGGUGAAAUUCUUGGAUUUAUUGAAGACUAACUACUGCGAAAGCAUUUGCCAAGGAUGUCUUCAUUAAUCAAGAACGAAAGUUAGGGGAUCGAAGACGAUCAGAUACCGUCGUAGUCUUAACCAUAAACUAUGCCGACUAGGGAUCGGAUGAUGUUAUUUUUAAUGACUCA
This 505-nucleotide ribosomal RNA is filed under the name Glomus sp. MO-G5. RNAcentral's name for it is "SSU rRNA". It matches the Rfam family "Eukaryotic small subunit ribosomal RNA", at positions 569 to 1078 of the family's 1831-position model. The record is from RNAcentral. Lineage: Eukaryota; Fungi; Glomeromycota; Glomeromycetes; Glomerales; Glomeraceae.